CGAGGUGUGGCGCAGUUGGUAGCGCGCUUGCUUUGGGAGCAAGAAGCCGCAGGUUCAAGUCCUGUCACCUCGACCA
This 76-nucleotide transfer RNA is filed under the name Clostridiaceae bacterium. RNAcentral's name for it is "tRNA-Pro". It matches the Rfam family "tRNA". Rfam says of the family: Transfer RNA (tRNA) molecules are approximately 80 nucleotides in length. Their secondary structure includes four short double-helical elements and three loops (D, anti-codon, and T loops). RNAcentral also lists the same sequence under 5 other names. The record is from RNAcentral. Lineage: Bacteria; Bacillati; Bacillota; Clostridia; Eubacteriales; Clostridiaceae.